AGGAGUGGAGCCUGCGGCUUAAUUUGACUCAACACGGGAAACCUCACCAGGCCCGGACACCGGAAGGAUUGACAGAUUGAGAGCUCUUUCUUGAUUCGGUGGGUGGUGGUGCAUGGCCGUUCUUAGUUGGUGGAGCGAUUUGUCUGGUUAAUUCCGAUAACGAACGAGACUCUAGCCUGCUAACUAGGCGUACUUUCGACAUCUCAAAGGCCCGCCGGCCCGGCGCGCGUCGCGGUCGCGCGCGGUUUUUACUGUCGGCGUCCAAAUUAUUCUUCUUAGAGGGACAGGCGGCUUCUAGCCGCACGAGAUUGAGCAAUAACAGGUCUGUGAUGCCCUUAGAUGUUCUGGGCCG
Molecule: ribosomal RNA, 352 nt
Filed under: Bolborhinum geotrupoides
Lineage: Eukaryota; Metazoa; Arthropoda; Insecta; Coleoptera; Geotrupidae
Description: SSU rRNA
Rfam family: Eukaryotic small subunit ribosomal RNA
Source: RNAcentral